UCCGGUUUGUCACCGGCAGUCUCAUUAGAGUGCCCAACUGAAUGUAGCAACUAAUGACAAGGGUUGCGCUCGUUGCGGGACUUAACCCAACACCUCACGGCACGAGCUGACGACAGCCAUGCACCACCUGUGACGACGCCCCGAAGGGAAACCGUGUUUCCACGGCUGUCAUCGACAUGUCAAGUCCAGGUAAGGUUCUUCGCGUUGCGUCGAAUUGAACCACAUGCUCCGCUGCUUGUGCGGGUCCCCGUCAAUUCCUUUGAGUUUUAGCCUUGCGGCCGUACUCCCCAGGCGGGGCACUUAAUGCGUUAGCUUCGGCACGGAAGGAGUCGAUACCUCCCACACCUAGUGCCCAUCGUUUACGGCGUGGACUAC
Molecule: unclassified non-coding RNA, 375 nt
Filed under: uncultured Thermoleophilia bacterium
Lineage: Bacteria; Bacillati; Actinomycetota; Thermoleophilia
Description: contains 16S-23S intergenic spacer region
Source: RNAcentral